AGUUUCAUAUAAAACUAAACAUGCUUCCCACUAGGUUUUCUAUAUGCUACUUUGGUAGCAAUCAACCUAUUGGGGACACUA
Molecule: small nucleolar RNA, 81 nt
Filed under: Castor canadensis (American beaver)
Lineage: Eukaryota; Metazoa; Chordata; Mammalia; Rodentia; Castoridae
Description: Small nucleolar RNA SNORA32 (ENSCCNG00000015266.1)
Source: RNAcentral